GUUCAUGAAACUUGGAUCGAAGCCGGAUUCAUUUCAGUCAGAUGCAGACUGUGUCAGGUAUGUGUCUGGUGAGUUGGCAUCAGACUUCAUCAUUACUGUUGGGGAUGUAAAGUUUUAUCUGCACAAGUUUCCUCUUCUGUCAAAAAGUGCUCACUUGCAGAAGUCAGCUGCAAUUGGCAAUGGGGAAAACACUGAUGAAGUUGACAUUUCUGACAUUCCUGGUGGCCCUGCUGCUUUUGAGAUAUGUGCCAAAUUUUGUUAUGGGAUGAUUGUGACCCUCAAUGCUUACAAUGUCAUCGCGGCUCGAUGUGCAGCUGAGUACCUAGGAAUGAAUGAGAACAUUGAAAAAGGGAACCUCAUUUACAAAAUUGAUGUUUUCCUUAGCUCUAGUAUUUUUCGCAGCUGGAAGGAUUCUAUCGUUGCUCUGCAGACCACAAAGCCAUUGUUGCCAUUAUGUGAGGAACUGAAGAUGAUGAGUGCUUGCAUUGAUGGUGUAGCUACCAAGGCCUGUGUUGAUAUUUCAAAAGUUGACUGGUCCUAUAGCUAUAACCGGAAGAAACUCCCAAAAGAAAAUGAUAAUGAUCCAAAUGUGAAUGGUAUGAGACACCGAUCGGUGCCGAAAGACUGGUGGGUUGAGGAUUUGUGUGAUCUUGAUAUUGAUUUAUACAAGCGUGUUAUUAUGGCAAUUAGAACCAAGGCUAUACUUUCUAGUGAGGUAAUUGGAGAAGCUUUGAAAGCUUAUGCUUAUAGGAGAUUACAAGGUUUAAGCAAGGGUGUGAUCCAAUGUGGAGAAGCAAUAAAAUAUAGAUCAACAGUUGAUACAAUUUUGUGUCUGUUGCCUGCUGAGAGAGGCAGCAUCUCCUGUAGUUUUUUGCUGAAGUUAUUAAAAGCAACCAUAUAUGUAAACCUAGGAGACAUGACAAAGGGACAGCUAAUCAAGAAAAUAGGCCAGCAACUGGAGGAGGCUUCUGUACAUGAUCUGUUGAUACAUGCAGCAGAAGGGGAGAGUAUGAUGUAUGAUGUUGAUACAGUAAAGAAAAUAGUUGAAGAGUUUCUGAUGCAAGAUCAGAAUGCUGAGAUUGAUUCACUGGAAGAAGGCCAAGAGGUGCAGGAGAUAAGAAGACCAGGGAUUUUAUCGGAUGCUUCCAAGCUCAUGGUGGCAAAACUGAUAGAUGGAUACCUUGCUGAAAUUGCAAAAGAUCCCAAUCUACCCUUGUUGAAGUUUGUUGAGCUCGCUGAGAUGGUGUCUGGUAUCUCCCGGCCUGCUCAUGAUGCCCUAUACCAAGCAAUUGACAUGUUUCUUAAGGAGCAUCCGGGGAUCAGCAAAGGCGAGAGGAAGAGAAUAUGCAAGUUGAUGGAUUGCAAGAAGCUAUCAGUUGAUGCAUGCAUGCAUGCAGUGCAGAACGAGAGACUGCCAUUGCGGUUGGUCGUGCGGAUACUCUUUUAUGAGCAGGUCAGGGUGGCCGCCACAUCAGGAAGUAGCACUCCUGACCUUCCCAAAGGUCUCUGGGAUCUAAAUAAUGGAUCUCGUGGGAGCUCAAGGUCAGCUGCUACUAAUCCGGAGGAAGAUUGGGAUGCUGUGGCUACAGCCGAUGAGCUCAGGGCCCUAAAAGCAGAGAUAGCAUCCUUAAGGUUAAGUAAUGCAGAGAGAAAUGGGAGGGGUAAAAAUAGUAUAGAUAAGGCCACAAAUAACAGAGUGAAGGGUUUGCUCAAGUCAAAGAAGAUCCUUACAAAGCUUUGGUCAAGCAAAGGAGAAAAGGGUGAGAACAGUGGGUCAGAUUCAUCUGAUAGUCUUGGUUCUGCUAAUCCUGAAGUAGCCAAGUCCACACCCUCCAGAAAUGGAAGGCAUUCUGUCUCUUAGAAGAAAUUACUAUUAGAUUUCUGGUUGGUUUUUGGUUUUUUGGCCAAGUCUAAAUUAAUGAUA
This 1924-nucleotide unclassified non-coding RNA is filed under the name Hevea brasiliensis (rubber tree). Lineage: Eukaryota; Viridiplantae; Streptophyta; Magnoliopsida; Malpighiales; Euphorbiaceae. The record is from RNAcentral.